GCAAACUGUAGACUGGAGAUAUUUACUUGCAUAAAACAAACGGAAAUAAAGAGGUGACAAUAACACAGAUAAUGUAGUCUCAAUAUCUUAUAUUACCCACAUCAGGGGCUAGCGAGUGGCCAUAAUAAUUAGUGCUACAUGACAGCAAAUAGAUUAAAUAGCUAGGUGGAUUCUUACAACUAAGCAGUACCAUUAGCCUUACAAAGUCUUGGCUAAUAAACAUCGUUCAAAGCAACGAUGGCAUGCACCUGAACACAAGACUGUUCACAUAGGAGUUGGGACUUCUCCACGCAAUGCCACAAAAUCAGGAGAGUAGGUACAUAGCAACAAACUAAGUUUCGCAAAAGGUGCUGUCCCAUUAUAGGCACAUGAUGUAGCACUGAAUCUCAGUGACCAGCUGAGGGCAAUUCCGCAAAACAGGGAAUAUAAGGCAGACCAUUCAUGCCUUCAGUGCAGAUAACAUGCACUUUCUGAUUAUCCAUGUCAUACGACAAUGUCAAGUUUUUCUUGUCAGUAAGAAAAAUCAUGUUGCAAUCCGGAUGAAUUGCAAACAUCACAUAAGAAUCUCCAUCUUUACGGCAAUUCCUUCCAAACAGCUCCAAAACGUUAACAGUAUGCUUUAGGGUCCACUUUCCAGCAUCAUAAUCCUCGAGGACCCAAAUAUUGAGUUGGCAAUCACGAGAAUUAUCUAUCCACCAGGCAUACAAGCGUCCUUGUAAAAAGGCCCUUACUUCCAAAGCUGCAAGGGAGUGCGACAAGGGGACCCGCAUUCACCUUUCUUAUUCAAUAUGGUUGUGGAAGCCUUAUCCAAAAUGAUCCUGAAAGCUCAAAGAGAGAAAUUGAUAACAGGUCUGGCUCCGGACCUGAUUGAUGGGGGGUAGCUAUCCUCCAAUAUGCAGACGAUACGGUUGUGUGUUUUGAGCAUGAUAAAGAUGUUGCGGUUAAUCUGAAACUCUUACUUUAUUUGUUUGAGCUUAUGUCAGGGCUUAAGAUUAAUUUUCUGAAAAGUGAAAUUUUGUGUGUUGGAGGGGAUGAUGAGGUUCUUGCGUUUCAUUCAAAACUCUUCAAUUGUCAAAUUGGCCACUUCCCUAUGAAGUAUUUAGGGGUGCCUGUGAGCUAUUCUACCCUCCGUGCGAUUGACUGGGAUUUUUUUGAUGACAAAUUCCUCAAGUGCUGUGAAUCCUGGAUUGGUAAUGCAGCCUCCUUAGGAGGAAGAUUGACUCUUCUCAACUCGUCCCUUACGAGCAUUGUUUUCUUUUACAUGUCUAUUUUUAUGCUUUCUAAGAAGAAUAUUGAGAAGCUAGAUAAACAUAGGAAAAAGUUCUUUUGGCAAGAGACUGACGGUCGGAGAAGAUAUCACUUGGUUAGAUGGUCUAGGAUCUGCAGAUCCAAGAAUAAAGGGGGUUUGUGUUGGAAAUAUGCCCUAGAGGCAAUAAUAAAUUAGUUAUUAUUAUAUUUCCUUGUUCAUGAUAAUCGUUUAUUAUCCAUGCUAGAAUUGUAUUGAUAGGAAACUCAGAUACAUGUGUGGAUACAUAGACAACACCAUGUCCCUAGUAAGCCUCUAGUUGACUAGCUCGUUGAUCAAUAGAUGGUUACGGUUUCCUGACCAUGGACAUUGGAUGUCAUUGAUAACGGGAUCACAUCAUUAGAAGAAUGAUGUGAUGGACAAGACCCAAUCCUAAGCCUAGCACAAAGAUCGUGUAGUUCGUAUGCUAAAGCUUUUCUAAUGUCAAGUAUCAUUUCCUUAGACCAUGAGAUUGUGCAACUCCUGGAUACCAUAGGAAUACUUUGGGUGUGCCAAACGUCACAACGUAACUGGGUGGCUAUAAAGGUACACUACAGGUAUCUCCGAAGUGUCUGUUGGGUUGGCAUGAAUCGAGACUGGGAUUUGUCACUCCGUGUAAACGGAGAGGUAUCUCUGGGCCCACUCGGUAGGACAUCAUCAUAAUGUGCACAAUGUGACCAAGGAGUUGAUCACGGGAUGAUGUGUUACGGAACGAGUAAAGAGACUUGCCGGUAACGAGAUUGAAUAAGGUAUCGGGAUACCGACGAUCGAAUCUCGGGCAAGUAUCGUACCGCUAGACAAAGGGAAUUGUAUACGGGAUUGAUUAAGUCCUUGACAUCAUGGUUCAUCCAAUGAGAUCAUCGUGGAACAUGUGGGAGCCAACAUGGGUAUCCAGAUCCCGCUGUUGGUUAUUGACCGGAGAGCCAUCUUGGUCAUGUCUACAUGUCUCUCGAACCCGUAGGGUCUACACACUUAAGGUUCGAUGACGCUAGGGUUAUAAGGAAUAGAUAUACGUGGUUACCGAAUGUUGUUCGGAGUCCCGGAUGAGAACCCAGACGUCACAAGGAGUUCCGGAAUGGUCCGGAGGUAAAGAUUUAUAUAUGGGAAGUCCUGUUUUGGUCGCCGGAAAAGUUUUGGGGUUUUUCGGUAGCGUACCGGGACCACCGGGAGGGUCCCGGGGGUCCACCAAGUGGGGCCACAAGCCCCAGAGGGCUACAUGGGCCAAGUGUGGGAGGGGACCAGCCCCAUGUCACAUCCCUAGUUCUAUUAAUGCCUAGUGCUAGCAUCUGGUGUUGCAUCAUGUUUAAAUUUCAGUUAAACCUGAAAUGGGGAUUGCCUAAACCCUAGCACCAAAUGAAUUCAACUAGGUUCAAUAAAAAAAAUAUUUUCAACGAUCCCAAUUGCCCUUUAGAAAAGUUCAUGAUUUUUGUUAAAGGUGAAAACCUCUGCCAAAAGUCAUGCACAUAUUUCUAGGCCAUUCUGGAUUUUUGAACUAAAUCAUAUAGUAUUUGAAUUUGGGCAUUUAAAUACUAUAAAAUAAUUAAAAUGUUCAAAUAAUCCUAAACUGAAAUGUUCCAUGUUGGAUAUAUUCCAAACAGUGGCCAUGAGCAGUUUGGAGAUUUUUGAGUGUGCCUAAGUAUUUUUAAUAAAGCCCAGAACAAAAUAACAAAAUAGAAAAGAGAAAUAAAAUAGAAAUGGAGAGAGAGAACCUCACCUGGCCUCACUGUGCAGCCCACCUAGUCGGGCCAGCUGGCGGCCCAGCCAGCUGGCCAGCCCACCGAGGGCAGGGGCGUCUUCUUCCUCCUGCCAGAAGGCAGAGGAGAAGACAGCCACGGCGCCGCGGCGUGCCAUGCCGGCAGCUGCCUGCCUGGCUGCCCCCUCGUCGCCCUGGACUCCCUCUGCGACGCCACGCUACCCCCCUGGACCCCCUUGAUGCUCUCGCUCUCUCCCUCGCUCUCUGCUCCCUCUACCGAGCACACACGAGCGGAGCUCGUCGUCGCCGACGCAAUUUGCCGCGACCACCGCCGUCCCAACGAUGCCCCGAGCUGUUCCCGAGCUCCUCCACCUCGUCGCCAACCUCCUCACCGACUCACGCCACCAGGAGAGCCCCGAAACGACGGCCUCAACGUCAUCUCCAACCACGGCUGACCGAGAUCGCCGCCGUCAAUUCGCCGUCGCAGAAGCUUCCCCGAGCCCGCUGAGUUUCUCUCCCGACCCCUUGUGAGCUCCUGCACCUUCCCUAUGCUCGCCCCCUCUCCGUUUCUCUCCGCUAGCUCGAUUCCGCUGGAGCCGAGAGCUCAUCGCCGCCGUCCAUGGUGCCGCCGUCGUUUUAGCCACCAUAGCUCGUGCCUGAUCGCGUCAACGCGUUCGGUGCCUUCCCAGGAGCAUGCAGCUCCCACCAGCUCCUCCUCCCGAGCACCCUAACGCCGAGCCCGCACCAACCCCGAACUCCGGCCGCCGCCUUUGAGCUCGUGGCCGUCGACUCCGGCCACCCCAGGCCCGGCUACUGCCACCAGGUGACACGCUGCAACGCCAGCUACCCGUAGAGCCCAACCGCGGCUCAAACCGCAGCCUGUACACGAAACCCGAGCAACUCCGGCGAGUUGCCGCCACGGUUUUGGUCGCCGGCGACUUAACUCCGGCCGUGCCGACGUGGCACCAUCAUUAGUGGCUAAUGACGCCACUAAACUAACCCCUAGCUCACUGACGAAUGGACCCCACAGUUAAUUAACCCCGGGUUUAGUUUCCUGUUUAGAUUAGUGCUAACCCUAUGGACCCCACGUGUCAGCUUUGACGUUGGUCAAGUCAACAUUGGCCGGUCCCACUUGUCAUCCACCCAAACCAGCCUGAGACACUGACGUGUGGGUCCCAGUCAUCAGGUUUGACCUGGGCUGACGCCUUUGACCUGCUGAUGUCACGGUGACGUAAUGUUGAUGCAAUAAUUCAUUUUCUGGAAUUAGUUAAUUCUAAAUAAUUCAGAAAAUUCCAGAAAAUUGCCUAAACUUCUAAAAAUCAUAGAAAUUCAACCGUAACUCCAAAUAAAAUAAAUUAUAUAUGUAAAAUUAUCAGAAAAAUUCAAGGAAUCCAUCUGUACACUUUUCAUGCAUGUUUGAACAAUGUUUGUCCUCUGUUUUGGACAAAACAAAUACAGGGCACUUAAAUAAACAUAUAUGGAGUUGGAAUUUGAAUCUUGUAUUCAAACCAACUUCAUUUAAAUCAUAACUAGAUGCAUUAGCUCAAAUCACAGCAUAUUGCCAUGUCAUGAUCAUGCAUCAUAUUGUCGCAUAUGCAUUGAUUGUGUUCUUCUCUUUUGCCGGUGUUUGUCCCCCUUCAGUAGACGACGUUCUGACGAUGUGUUCGAUGACACUGAUGAAAAACUAUUACUAUCUUCAGAAGUGCCAGGCAAGCACAACUCGCUUGUUCAUUCUGAUACAAGCCCACUCUCUCGCUCCUGCUCUCUUUUACUGCAUUAGGACAACAACGAUCAUCUGUUACUUGUUGCGGUAGUUGAACCCCUUAUCCUCUGCAUGACCUGUCAUUGCCACAGUAAAUAGAUGAAACCCACUAGCAUGAGUAGGAGUUGUUUGAGCCCUGAUGUGCCUACUCAUUCAUGCUUGUUUGUCAUGCCUGCUACUGCUUAGAGUUGGGUCAGGUCUGAUUCAUCGGGGAUGAAUCGGAGGUGUGUAAACAUGCCCUACUGUGUGUGAGCUAAGUGUGUGAAAACGUUUUGGUAAAGGUAGCGGUGAGAGACCAUGUAGGAGUACAUGGUGGGUUGUCUCAUUGAAACCGUCCUCGGGAACUGAGUUCUGUGUCUGUGAUCCAUGAACAGCUACUACCACUCAUUGGGAUCCUUAAUUGACCCUCUCAGCUUCUUAAUCACCCUAGUACUCUGUCCAGGAGUUGCAACUAGUUUCUGGUGUUUGUAGGUUAUGUGUUGGCGGCCGUGCGUAGCGCUGACCCUAGGGGUGGGCUAUGAUGCGGUAGAUACACCAUGGCCGGGCAUGCCGGGCGCCCGUUUGGUGUCUCGGAACCCUGUACACAUCAUUCAGGGCCGUAUGUGGAAACCUCGGCCGGACUCCCUGCGGAUGGAACCUGGAUAGGCGAUAAACCUGGACUAGAGACUUGAGUGUUUAGGUAGGCCGUGGCCGACACCCUCGUUGGGCUUCCGCUUGAAGGUUGCCGAGUACAUGUCAUGUAAAUGGCGGUAAGUGGUGAGAGCGUGUGUGAAGAAGUACACCCCUGCAGGGUUAACAUCAUCUAUUCGAAUAGCCGUGUCCACGGUAAUGGACUUCUGGGUUGCCUAUAACAGUUCAUAGACAAGUGAAAAUGGAUACUCUAAAACUCGCAAGAUAAGUGUGAGUGCUAUGGAUGGCCUUCUCGUAGGGACACGGGAGCGGAUCCAUAGUGGUGUAUUGAAUGGUGAAUAUGUGGACUCGUGUGCGCCACCUCAAAAGAGUUGCUUGCAGUCGUAGUUCAGGUUAGCCACUGAGUCAAAGCUGGCUUGCUGCAGUUAAACUCCACCACCCCCCCUUUAUUGAUACUGAUGCAUAUGUAGAUAGUUCUGAUGUAAGUCUUGCUUGGUACAUUUGUACUCACGUUUGCCUAUUUUAUGUUUUGCAGAGAGACGUCAGUCUCACUAGUAGUUCCGUGUGGACUUUGACGUUAGCUUGAUACCUCAGCUACGAUCUUGUGCCCUCGGCAGGAUCUGGUAGAUAGUCAGGCUUCUCAGCCUUUUUCAUUUGUAGAUGUCUGUACUCAGACAUGUUAAGCUUCCGCUUGGGUUUUGACUUGUAUGCUCUGGAUGUUGGGCCAUGAGACCCAUGUUUGUAAUAUCUCGCUCCUCGGAGCCUGAUGAGUAAAUACUUGAGUCGUAGAGUCUUGUUGUGAUGCCAUGUUGUAUUUACACAUAUCGAGCAUAUUGUGUGUAUGAUUGAAAUGCUUGGUAUGUGUGGGAUCCGACAAUCUAGUUGUUUAUCCUUGGCAGCCUCUCUUAUGGGGAAAUGUAGUCUAGUUCUUCCAUGAGCCAUAGUAGUCCGCUACAGCCGGUUCGCCGGAGUCCUGCUAGCCCAGCACUACUGCUCAGGACACUUAACUGGCCGGCAUGUGUUUCACUUCGUUCCCGUGUCUGUCCCUUUGGGGAAAUGUCACGCGGUGACAUCCGGAGUCCUGCCUAGCCUGCUACAGCCCGGGUUACCGGAGUCCUGUUAGCCCAGUGCUACAGCCCGGAUUCACACGCUGCUGACCGACAUGCUCGAUGUGAUUCAUGUAUGUCUGUUCCCAUAGGUUGGUGCCGCUUUGGGUUCACGACUAGCCAUGUCGGCCUGGGUUCCCUGUCAUAUGGAUGCUAGCGACACUAUCAUAUACGUGAGCCAAAAGGCGCAAACGGUCCCGGCCAUGGUAAGGCGACACCCAUGGGAAUACCGUGCGUGAGGCCGUAAAGUGAUAUGAGGUGUUACCGGCUAGAUCAAUGUGACUUGGAAUCGGGGUCCUGACAGCAUUGGUAUCAGAGCCUGACUACCUGUAGGAUUACCAAGCCAAACUGGUCGAAGUCGAGUCUAGAAAUGCUUUAGUUAUGUAAGGGAAUUGAUUGUGGAAGGGAACGUAAGGUUCUUUUUACUCCUUUACCCUAUGCCCUUCUGAUCUGAGUCAACCUCUUCUUUUCUACGGGGAUUAAGAAUUAGGCCUUCUCAUCUAUCUAUCAGGAUGAUGUGCUACUAAUCCAUAGACUUAUAUAAUUGAUAGUUUCAAGCUUCAGUUCCGUUCCUACUACUUCCGUAUGUUGACAGUUGAUCUCAGAACCUUGAUAUUGUGUUGUUGAGUGGUUAUGCCACCAUUUUGCAGGAUGUCUCAAAUCAUUUUGAGCAUUUACAAUCUUUAUGCUGUCCGAGUCAUCCCAGGUUUCUAACUAGUCUGAUGCAUUUGCAAAUUCCUUCUUCCGUUACCGACGUUCCUUUGGGCCAGUUUAUCCACACUAAUCGGUGAGUUGAGGUACUCUGUUGCCUCGACAUAUAUGUUGGAGCUAUUAUUAUGACCCUAGGUGUUGUAGGGAGUCACCUAGUAAUCUAGCCAUGUUUUGUGUUCCCGGUGUGAUAAUUCUGACCACCAUUCUCGAAAGCAUCCCGUGAUGCCAUUUAGUGGUAGGUAUUCUAUUCAUGGGUUCUUGAACCCGAGAUUCCUCCUACUUAUCUCAUGUUGAUAGUGUUGCUAGUUCCUUUAGGAUAUUAGUAACCUUUGCGAUAGUCCUCGAGGUCCGUGGUAUUUCCUCCUUCCAAAUACUAUGAACCACUUAUGGCAGAAGUUUGUUGGAUCAAAAGAUCACAACCAGAGUGCUCUUGAUGAGUUCUCCAUUCUGCAUUGUGAAUCUGCCAGUCCUACCUUUCUUCAUGGGUUAUCCGGAAGAAAUAACAUGCUAAUCCAUGCAUCCAUACCUCAGAAAAAUUAUAUGUUCCUUUGAGUUGUUCCUCUUUAGUUGUAUUCUGAACCUCGUCCAUCAAUUGUUGGUCAAGAGUAGUUGUGCAUUGGUGUUAUCGAUGCCUAUUAUUCAUGUGAUCCGUCAAGCCAUUCCAUUCCGGAAUGACUAGGAGAAACAAACUCCAGUACCUCAUCCAUAUCCAGGAUUGGGUCAAAGCAGUUGUAUUCCGCGGAUCAAAGUGACAAUCCAGCUUUUGAUUCUGUUCAACCCUUAAGUAUUGCCCACUUUAUGUCAGGAAUAUCAUAGGAAUUGCACAACCUCCUAUGAACUCUUGAUACAGUGAUACUUCUCACCGUCAUUAUUCAUUCCUCGGUUCCGUGUUGUUGUAACCGGGAUGCCGACAAGUGAAUUGUGAUGUGUGAAAUCAAUACUCCAAGAAACUCGUUGCUUUGUAGUAAUGGACAAUAUUCUUAUUCCUAGCGUGUUGGUUUUUGAGCUACCAUUCUAAGAUUGACCGUGCUACCUAGUCCAUAUCUCCGGGUGCACUCAUCGACCAAUGAGUUAGGAUUGUGACAAUCCCUCGCUCCUUGAUCAUAUCGUCUUGCCCUGAAAAGCAAGAUUGUUCUCGAGCUUAAUAACAUAUCAGUGGUUCAUGAUUUUCCGAAUAUUUUCUCGGAAGUAUUACUAGGUUGUUCCCUGAUCGCUAUGUUGAGUUCGUGAUCAUGCUGGUUUUUCUCUAAACCAUCCAUUCUCCAAGAAUCUGUGUUGGAUACCCCCGAGCUAGAUGGUUAAGCUAAACAACAACUUGGAGAUUUGGAAGAUAAAAGGCUUUGCCGAAUUUGGUUCUUUCUGAAGGGAUAUCUUUGUGUUGUGGGUGUGUUGAAGAAAGAUGAUAUCUUCACCAAUUGGUCCUCGUGAUCAGUUGUUGGAUCUGUUAUCUUGUCAAAACUUUGACUUGAGUAUGGGCUAUUGUCGAGUCAAAUCAGAACCAACGAUGUUCGUAGUGUUGUCUUACUCGUGGUUGAUCCCUCGAGAAUACACCAUUACAUCUUUUGGUCUGACCAAUGCUAUCACCGUGUUCACAUGAUGGUGGAAGUCCAGUGAUAUGGAAAUUCCGAUGAGUUGUUAUUGAGCCCAUCAGCAACAUUUUGUCUCCUCCAUGAUUCGUGUUGAACAUCCAGCUAGUGUUGGAAAUUUUGUAAGCAUUAUCUUCGUGAUCCGUUCAUGAAGCCUGUGCUUGGAUGAAAGGAGUGACUUCCUUUGAUUCACGUCCAUUAGAUGUAAGUUGUCGCCGUGAAUUCAAGAAAGCUUGUUUUUGUUUCCUCUAGAAUCAUCCCAAAUCAGUCAUGCAUACGUGCGAAGUAUUCUAUGGUUUGGUAGAUUGAUUACCUCCACUCCAUAUGUAUUCCCUAGCACACCAAGCCACUAAUUGAUUUGUUCAAGGAGAAGAAGUUCCUUCCUAAGAGCAAGACUUAUGUAAGGACUUCGAUAUCCUUGAUGAUGGUUCCCCACCGAACUCGGUAGUGUUUUACUGUAAGACUACUACGUGGUCAUGCUUGUCUUGGACAACGGGUUCACAGGUUUGUAGUAGAACCAGCUCAUGUUUUGGAGCUUAUUAUCGUAGUUCAUUCCCCGAGAAUCUCGCAACGUCAUCUCAUCGAUUUGUGUUGCAAACCUUCAUUUUCCUUUCUAGACUCGAUGAGUCUGGAAUAUCCUGUCACCAACCAGAUCUGAAUCUCAGGCAGAUAUGAUGGUUGGAGCAUUUCCCAAGAACUAUAAUAUUGGUCCCUCAAUAACCGGUAAAGUGGAUGUCAUGGCCAACACAUCCAGCCGGAAGGCCUAUUAUUGUAGUAUCUCGAUUGAAGAAAGUUUGCCACCUCCCCAUGAGGAUUUCGUAGGAUUUACCUCCGUAGUUAAUCCUUACGGAUUCUUGUGCUCCCGAAGUCCGACCUUUACUUGAUGUCCUAGAUACCAAACCGUAUCAAUAAAUGGGUUAUCCUAGCACAUCAAGGAAAACAUUUGAAGCGGAGUGCUAAAUGUCUCUCGGUCGAUCAUCCAGAUUUUGUUUCCUUGGCCUCACUAAGGUGAAAUCUGAGAAAGUGUUAUCUUCCUUUGCAUCUGCAUUAUCCAUCACCAUUCAUCAUGGUGGUAUGUUGUGUUGCCAGGAUCCUUGACAUGGAUAUUGGUAAAACCUUGAUGAAUAUGGAGAUGCUCAAGUUCUUGAGAGCACGCGCAAGCACUAGGUUUUAUCGUUGGCAUUAACUGGGAUUUGCUUCAUGUUUCCUCGGUUAUGUUAUAACCUUUUCAAACAGUGGACUCACUCUAGACUGUUGAGCUCUCCCCAGUUACUAGAAUCAUUCCUAGCAUUUGCAUUUUGUUCCCAGCUUGCACCGCCAUUGUGUCAUCCUACUACGGACUACCCUUCUCAGUAAUUACUGAUCAGGAUCAACUUCAAAGUGGUCCUACCACAAGUUCCAUCCAUCUCCGAUGAUAAGCAAAAAUCAUCCAUUGUGUUGUCUUCAACAAGGUAGUCCACAUCAUCCAUCCUAGUCCAAGUAUGCCAUCUCUUCAAGCUACCUCAAACGAUCAAUUGUAAAUUGCCUUAAGCUGGUAUGAAGAGUUUCAAUGAUCUCUGAAUCAAAAGUAAUUCUUUUUGCCACUUAAGGGAAUAUUUCUGCGAGUCACUUUCCUUAAGAUGUCUCGUUAUGGUAUCAUGGCAAUUUCCCUCGCUACUUUGAAACCCUCGUCAAAUUGUUUCUUCUAUCGCUCUUGAUGCAAGUUUUGCCUCUCAGCUCCAGAGAUGUUCCUAUGUCUCACUCCAUGAGUUGAUCCUGAGUUGUUCGAUCUUCGAGAAGAUCGAUCCUUCUAGAGUUUUCCCUUCCCUCUCGUUGUCAUGUUGGUUGGAGUUCUCAGAGCAAGACAUCGAGACAAUGAUGGUGAUCGAAUCAACAACCUUAUGAGAUGCAACCUGGAUCAUCAAGAUUAUGUUAGCUUGUGUUUCCCCUUCAUCUUACCUCACGUCUUGAAUCUCGGGCCGAGCUUCUUGUUUAGAGGGGGUGAGUUGUCACAUCCCUAGUUCUAUUAAUGCCUAGUGCUAGCAUCUGGUGUUGCAUCAUGUUUAAAUUUCAGUUAAACCUGAAAUGGGGAUUGCCUAAACCCUAGCACCAAAUGAAUUCAACUAGGUUCAAUAAAAAAAUAUUUUCAAUGAUCCCAAUUGCCCUUUAGAAAAGUUCAUGAUUUUUGUUAAAGGUGAAAACCUCUGCCAAAAGUCAUGCACAUAUUUCUAGGCCAUUCUGGAUUUUUGAACUAAAUCAUAUAGUAUUUGAAUUUGGGCAUUCAAAUACUAUAAAAUAAUUAAAAUGUUCAAAUAAUCCUAAACUGAAAUGUUCCAUGUUGGAUAUAUUCCAAACAGUGGCCAUGAGCAGUUUGGAGAUUUUUGAGUGUGCCUAAGUAUUUUUAAUAAAGCCCAGAACAAAAUAACAAAAUAGAAAAUAGAAAUAAAAUAGAAAUGGAGAGAGAGAACCUCACCUGGCCUCACUGUGCAGCCCACCUAGUCGGCCCAGCUGGCGGCCCAGCCAGCUGGCCAGCCCACCGAGGACAGGGGCGUCUUCUUCCUCCUGCCAGAAGGAAGAGGAGAAGACAGCCACGGCGCCGCGGCGUGCCACGCCGGCAGCUGCCUGCCUGGCUGCCCCCUCGUCGCCCUGGACUCCCUCUGCGACGCCACGCUACCCCCUGGACCCCCUUGACGCUCUCGCUCUCUCCCUCGCUCUCUGCUCCCUCUCCCAAGCACACCCGAGCGGAGCUCGUCAUUGCUGACGCAAUUUGCCGCGACCACCGCCGUCCCAAUGAUGCCCCGAGCUGUUCCCGAGCUCCUGCACCUCGUCGCCAACCUCCUCACCGACUCAUGCCACCAGGAGAGCCCCGAAGCGACGGCCUCAACGUCAUCUCCAACCACGGCUGACCGAGAUCGCCGCCGUCAAUUCGCCGUCGCAGAAGCUUCCCCGAGCCCGCUGAGUUUCUCUCCCGACCCCUUGUGAGCUCCUGCACCUUCCCUAUGCUCGCCCCCUCUCUGUUUCCCUCUGCUAGCUCGAUUCCGCUGGAGCCGAGAGCUCAUCGCCACCGUCCAUGGUGCCGCCAUCGUUUUAGCCACCAUAGCUCGUGCCUGAUCGCGUCAACGCGUUCGGUGCCUUCCCAGGAGCACGCAGCUCCCACCAGCUCCUCCUCCCGAGCACCCUAACGCCGAGCCCGCACCAACCCCGAACUCCGGCCGCCACCUUUGAGCUCGUGGCCGCCGACUCCGGCCACCCCAGGGCCGGCUACUGCCACCAGGCGACGCGCUGCAACGCCAGCUACCCGUAGAGCCCAACCGCGGCUCAAACCGCGGCCUGUACACGAAACCCGAGCAACUCCGGCGAGUUGCCGCCACGGUUUUGGUCGCCGGCAACUUAACUCCGGCCGUGCCGACGUGGCACCAUCAUUAGUGGCUAAUGACGCCACUAAACUAACCCCUAGCUCACUGACGAAUGGACCCCACACCUAAUUAACCCCGGGUUUAGUUUCUUGUUUAGAUUAGUGCUAACCCUAUGGACCCCACGUGUCAGCUUUGACUUUGGUCAAGUCAACGUUGGCCGGUCCCACUUGUCAUCCACCCAAACCAGCCUGAGACACUCACGUGUGGGUCCCAAUCAUCAGGUUUAACCUGGGCUGACGCCUUUGACCUGCUGAUGUCACGGUGACGUAAUGUUGACGCAAUAAUUCAUUUUCUGGAAUUAGUUAAUUCUAAAUAAUUCAGAAAAUUCCAAAAAAUUGCCUAAACUUCUAAAAAUCAUAGAAAUUCAACCGUAACUCCAAAUAAAAUAAAUUAUAUAUGUAAAAUUAUCAGAAAAAUUCAAGGAAUCCAUCUGUACCCUUUUCAUGCAUGUUUGAACAAUAUUUGUCCUCUGUUUUGGACAAAACAAAUACAAGGCAUUUAAAUAAACAUAUAUGGAGUUGGAAUUUGAAUCUUGUAUUCAAACCAACUUCAUUUAAAUCAUAACUAGAUGCAUUAGCUCAAAUCACAGCAUAUUGCCAUGUCAUGAUCAUGCAUCAUAUUGUCGCAUAUGCAUUGAUUGUGUUCUUCUCCUUUGCCGGUGUUUGUCCCCCUUCAGUAGACGACGUUCCGACGAUGUGUUCGAUGACACCGAUGAAAAGCUAUUACUAUCUUCAGAAGUGCCAGGCAAGCACAACCCCCUUGUUCAUUCUGAUACAAGCCCACUCUCUCGCUCCUGCUCUCUUUUACUGCAUUAGGACAACAACGAUCAUCUGUUACUUGUUGCGGUAGUUGAACCCCUUAUCCUCUGCAUGACCUGUCAUUGCCACAGUAAAUAGAUGAAACCCACUAGCAUGAGUAGGAGUUGUUUGACCCCUGAUGUGCCUACUCAUUCAUGCUUGUUUGUCAUGCCUGCUACUGCUUAGAGUUGGGUCAGGUCUGAUUCAUCAGGGAUGAAUCGGAGGUGUGUAAACAUGUCCUACUGUGUGUGAGCUAAGUGUGUGAACACGUUUUGGUAAAGGUAGCGGUGAGAGGCCAUGUAGGAGUACAUGGUGGGUUGUCUCAUUGAAACCAUUCUCAGGAACUGAGUUCUGUGUCUGUGAUCCAUGAACAGCUACUACCACUCAUUGGGAUCCUUGAUCGACCCUCUCGGCUUCUUAAUCACCCUAGUACUCUGUCCAGGAGUUGCAACUAGUUUUUGGUGUUUGUAGGUUAUGUGUUGGCGGCCGUGCAUAGCGCUGACCCUAGGGGUGGGCUAUGAUGUGGUAGAUACAUCGUGGCCGGGCAUGCCGGGCGCCCGUUUGGUGUCUCGGAACCCUGUACACAUCGUUCGGGGCCGUAUGUGGAAACCUCGGCCGGACUCCCUGCGGAUGGAACCUGGAUAGGCGAUAAACCUGGACUAGAGACUUGAGUGUUUAGGUAGGCCGUGGCCGACACCCUCGUUGGGCUUCCGCUUGAAGGUUGCCGAGUACAUGUCGUGUAAACGGCGGUAAGUGGUGAGAGCGUGUGUGAAGAAGUACACCCCUGCAGGGUUAACAUCAUCUAUUCGAAUAGCUGUGUCCGCGGUAAUGGACUUCUGGGUUGCCUAUAACAGUUCAUAGACAAGUGAAAAUGGAACUCUAAAACUCGCAAGAUAAGUGUGAGUGCUAUGGAUGGCCUUCUCGUAGGGAGACGGGAGCGGAUCCAUAGUGGUGUAUUGAAUGGUGAAUAUGUGGACUCGUGUGCGCCACCUCAAAAGAGUUGCUUGCAGUCGUAGUUCAGGUUAGCCACUGAGUCAAAGCUGGCUUGCUGUAGUUAAACUCCACCACCCCCCUUUAUUGAUACCGAUGCAUAUGUAGAUAGUUCUGAUGUAAGUCUUGCUGGGUACAUUUGUACUCACGUUUGCCUAUUUUAUGUUUUGCAGAGAGACGUCAGUCUCGCUAGUAGUUCCGUGUGGACUUCGACGUUAGCUUGAUACCUCAGCUACGAUCUUGUGCCCUCGGCAGGAUCUGGUAGAUAGUCAGGCUUCUCAGCCUUUUUCAUUUGUAGAUGUCUGUACUCAGACAUGUUAAGCUUCCGCUUGUGUUUUGACUUGUAUGCUCUGGAUGUUGGGCCAUGAGACCCAUGUUUGUAAUAUCUCGCUCCUCGGAGCCUGAUGAGUAAAUACUUGAGUCGUAGAGUCUUGUUGUGAUGCCAUGUUGUAUUUACACAUAUCGAGCAUAUUGUGUGUAUGAUUGAAAUGCUUGGUAUGUGUGGGAUCCGACAAUCUAGUUGUUUAUCCUUGGCAGCCUCUCUUAUGGGGAAAUGUAGUCUAGUGCUUCCAUGAGCCAUAGUAGUCCGCUACAGCCCAGUUCACCGGAGUCCUUCUAGCCCAGCACUACUGCUCAGGACACUUGACUAGCCGGCAUGUGUUUCACUUCGUUCCUGUGUCUGUCCCUUUGGGGAAAUGUCACGCGGUGACAUCCGGAGUCCUGCCUAGCCUGCUACAGCCCGGGUUACCGGAGUCCUGUUAGCCUAGUGCUACAGCUCGGAUUCACACGCUGCUGACCGACAUGCUCGAUGUGAUUCAUGUAUGUCUGUUCCCAUAGGUUGGUGCCGCUUUGGGUUCACGACUAGCCAUGUCGGCCCGGGUUCCCUGUCAUAUGGAUGCUAGUGACACUAUCAUAUACGUGAGCCAAAAGGCGUAAACGGUCCCGGCCAUGGUAAGGCGACACCCGUGGGAAUACCGUGCGUGAGGCCGCAAAGUGAUAUGAGGUGUUACCGGCUAGAUCAAUGUGACUUGGAAUCGGGGUCCUGACACCCCAGGUGGGCUGGUGCGCCCCGCCCCCCCCCCCACACACACACACAAGGGCCCAAGGCGCCUCCAAGAGGGAAAGGGGGCAAACCCUAGGGCAGAUGGGCCCUAAGGCCCACCCCAGGUGCGCCUCCCCCUCUCCCCCUUGUGGCCGCCACCCAGAUGGGAUCUGGGGGCUGCCGCCACCCCUAGGGAGGGAACCCUAGGUGGGGGCGCAGCCCCUCCCCUUCCCCUAUAUAUACUUGAGGUUUGGGCUGCCCAACACACAUGAGUUUCUGACCUCUCCCUGGCGCAGCCCUACCUCUCUUUCUCAUCAUAUCUCGCGGUGCUUGGCGAAGCCCUGCUGGAGUACCACGCUCCUCCACCACCACCACGCCGUUGUGCUGCUGCUGGAUGGAGCCUUCCUCAACCUCUCCCUCUCUCCUUGCUGGAUCAAGGCAUGGGAGACGUCAUCGGGCUGUACGUGUGUUGAACGCGGAGGUGCCAUCCGUUUGGCACUAGGAUCUCCGGUGAUUUGGAUCACGACGAGUAUGACUCCAUCAACCCCGUUCUCUUGAACGCUUCCGCUUAGCGAUCUACAAGGGUAUGUAGAUGCACUCUCCUUCCCCUCGUUGCUGGUUUCUCCAUAGAUAGAUCUUGGUGACACGUAGGAAAAUUUUGAAUUUCUGCUACGUUCCCCAACAGUUUGGGGGUUAAAGACUUACACAGACAAAACAUCAGUCUCCUCACCAAAUGGUGGUGGAAGCUGGAAACCCAACAAGGCCUUUGGCAGGAGAUUAUUCGUGCUAAAUACUUCAGAAAUGACAUGGUUCCCUCGGUGAAGAGUAAAUUUGGGGAUUCCCCCGUUUGGAAAGCUAUUAUGAAAGUAAAGGAAAUUUAUUUGGCAGGUAGAGAGGUGAUUUUAAACUCUGGGAAUAUAGCCAGAGUCUGGAAUGACCCCAUUAGGGGUGCUGCUCCCUUGCGUGUUAAAUUUCCGAUCUUGUUCAGUAUCUAUAAUUAUCAGGAGAUUACUGUUGCUGAAUUUAAAAAGUUUGAGGGGGGUGAUCUUUUUAGAAGGAACCUGCAUCCACCUCUUGUGGAUCAGUGGAAUGAUCUAGUUAAGGUGGUGAACUCUUGGCAAUUGUCCGAUGAGACGGACUAUAUUAGCUGGAGAUUGGGAAAAAAGAAAGGUAAAUUCUCGACCAAAUCGGUCUAUACCUAUUUGGAAAGAACCCUGGCGGGGUGUGAUUUCAUAUGGAUAUGGAAAGCAAAAAUCCCUCUUAAGAUUCAAAUCUUUCUCUGGCAAUUGUUCCAAGAUGCGGUUUUGACUCGAGAAGUCAUGAAAAAGAGAAAAUGGACAAGAAAUCCCAAAUGCUCUUUCUGCAAUGAGGUGGAAACCUCACAGCAUCUUUUAUUUACUCCACCAAGGCAAAAAAGCUUCGAGAAUGUGUUUACCUCCAUCGACGACGAACUGAUUCUACUCCACCAAGGCAAAAAAGCUUCGAGACUGUGUUUACCCGUUUGGUGGAUCGCACUCCUGCGCGAGUGUCUUUUGCUCUCCUGUGUUUUGCCUACGAGCAGGGCGUUGUAGUACUGUUAUGAUUCCUGUUGGAGUUUUCCUUGAUCUGGUUAGGUCUUGUGGUUUGCGUGAUGCUAGGUGUCACUGGGUUUUCGCCCCGCGAUGGGCUGCUCGAUGAGGAGUGCUCAUAGUGGGUUUCCGAGUGAUGCUUUGAUCUCGCCUUACCCCUUUCUUGCUUCCUUAUGCUGUAGUCGUUUAUGCUGGGUCUGUGUUCGUUGAACUUUAAACUUUGUAUUUCCGUUAUGCAAUUAAUGGAAAGGGGUUAUGGCCCGGGUCAAAAAAAAAUACAAGCGUCCUUGAGACUGCCCAACAUCACAGAUUCGUCCUUGAGAGUGCCCAACAUCACAGGUGUUUGGCAUUUGAAUCUCCCUCCAAACUUUCCCCUCCAUGUCGACUGUGGCUAUUCUCUUAUCAAGGGUAGGCAAAUGGAUAGUGCCAUUCAGGAAGACCUGGGUGUAUAUACCAUGAUUCACGAGAGGAUCUUUUGUCCACUUACUUUGCACAUGAGUCCACCCUCCAGUUUCUGUCGAGUAGAUUGACACUUUUCCGGAAUCGUUCAUACCAACCAUCUGGCUCUCGGGGGCAAACACCACAAAGCGGGAUGGAAUAGCAUGGUCGAAACCUAGGAAAGGGAUGGGAUCGGGACCUGGAAAUCCGACAGGAGGCAGCACAGUCCACUCUUGGGUAGCAGGAUUGCAGACAACAUAAUAGGAUUCAUCUCGCAGAUUAUCCGAGCAGCUGCACAGGAGAAGGCCGCCGCAGACGUGUUGGACAGAAAUGUGGCGGUACCUUUGGCGCAAGAAAGGGAGAGAGGGGUCGACAAGUGGCGGACAUCUUCCAUUCAAAUUGCGGAAAUUGAGGACACGGGCGUUCUUGUAGAAGAAGCCGGAGAGGGUCUGUUGCGACCUCUUGCGGAUGUCCGGGGCAGAGCAGAGGGCGAGCCACAGCUUGGACACGCACUUGAAGCGGCAGAGCGACCUGUAGGGCACACGCAAAAGGAUCUCGACGAGGGCGCCCUCGGGGAGGCUCGGCAUGAUCUGCUGCUCUUGCUCCAGCUUCUGCACCUGCUUCUUCUUCACAUCCUGUAAAUGAUGGAGAUGAUGACUCGUUUAGGCUCCCGAUCCCCUUUCUUGGAUCGACGACAAUUGACGGGGCCAGUCGAGGAUCUUGUUCUAAAAGAGAAAGAACAUUGCAGAAGCAUGGAGCAAACCUCGGAAGCCACCGGGACAAUGGCGAGGAGCGGCGGCGUAGAAUGGGGCAGAGCGUCUUCGUCGCGACGGACGAUGGCCGGCGGGUGGCUCUGCACCGUGCAGCCAUGCUCGCCCCCUCCUUCUCCUCCUAGCGGCAUGACCUCCUCUCCGGCUGGCGCUAGGGUUCGUGAAAUCGUGAUGGGGCGUGACUGCGAGUGGAGUGGAGUGGCCCCGCUGAUAAUGGGCUCUCCGAUUUUUUUCUUUAUUAGCUGUGGUUCUAAAGGCGGCCCAAUUGAUUCUGAUGAUUUGUUGGCCCUCUCCACUGAAUAGUCGAACAAUUUUCUUGGUUGGUUUGUUAAUCUACGAGCCGAUGAUAAAAAAAAAAUUGCAUCAGCAGAAUGUGCAUGUACUAGAUAUGUUUUGAAUUACAACUUGUUGGCACCUGUUAGUCUUGCCUAGCUUUGUAGAAGAAGAUAUCAAUAUUCAUACUAUGAAAUCAAUAUUAUUAGAUGCAUGAUGAAAUUAAUUUUCACAAUAUAUAACUUUAGUAUUGUGAUGUCGAUAUUUUUUUACUAAAAAGUUGGUCAAACUUUACAAUGCUUGACUUUGACCAAAUCUUAUAUGCAGACUAAAAAGAAACGGAGAGAGUAAUUAAACUCAUUAAGCUACGCGUGAAGGGCGACCAACCAGCUAUGCCACAUGGCGCAAACUGGUUGGGCACGGUGAGAAAUCUUUUGAAUUUUUUUAGAUGAAGAUGUGGAUUAUUUUUUAAAAUGUAUUUUUUCUUUUUAGAUGGAGGUGAGGAGCUCUGGUAUUUUUUAAAUGGAGGGUUGUGCAAAGUGGCACUCGCUGGUUGGCUGCGGUGAUAUUUUUUCCGUUUUACUUUUUUUAGAUGAAGGUGAAGAUUUUCUUUUGAGAUGUUUUUUUAGACGGAGGCGAUGACUCUAUGUAUAUUUUGUUAAAUGGAGACAUGCGCAUAGCUUUCUCUCAAGCGGCGUCACACCCCAACCACUAGUUUUACAAUAUAGUGCAACUACCUUCCGAGGGCGCACAAGGCAAAGACGCUUCUCUUGCCAUUCGGCCCGCCUCCAGGCCCUCUCUCGCACUCAGUAGGGUGCUCUCCGGCUGGUAGCCACUGUUGACUGCUGGCCAAAGAGGACUUCGACGAGUCAAAGAGGGAUGACUCAUCGGCUAACUCAGGUACAAACCCGAUGCCUUACUAAUACUUAAGUGAUUCGGUGCUAUCUGAUUAUAGUAAGAGAGAUUCUACUAUUAAGGGGAAAUUAAGAGAAAAAUGAAGAGAUGUAGACAAAUUAACACAUGGUCUCAUGAUUUUGAGGCUAGAUGUGACGGGGAAAUCCAAACUUCUUGAGUUAUCUGAUUAAUAAACAGAAGCAGAGAUUGUUGAUUGGCCAGGAGGAUAUCAAAAGGAAUGGGUACUACCCCCCCCCCCCAUUUUGAACUAUUUUGAUGAUAAUUAUGCUGAUUUUGGGAAAAUUACAUUAAUCUCCACCAGUGUUGUUGCCCUGAACAAAGGUGGAGGGGAAUUGGAGAAAUUGGGGGGGGGGCAUUAAAGAGGCUGACGAAAAUGGGUUUUGGGGGAUCAGUAGGUAGGUUUUUAGAUCAUAUUGAGGAGGAAGUGGAACUGGGAUUUAGAUGCUAUGGGCCUCCAACUUUGGAAGCUGGCCUAGUAGUGGCCCAGAAUUUAUCCACUCCUGCUAUAUAUAUGCUGGAGAGGGCGAGCUUUUAGAAACAUACAACUUCUCUAGGGUUACCCUGACAACCGCCGCCUGACUCUGCCAUGUCAGUGAACUAUGGCAACUUUCGAGGUGGAUGGAGAUUCGGUAGGGGUGGUGGAAGAGGAAAUUUCCAGUACCAACCGAAGGAUUUUGUUAACAAAGAUGAUGUGAGUUUCGUAAGAGAUCCAAUCCCCCACCCACAAAAUAAUAAUUCGGGUAGGGGUAGAGGACAGAUCGACGCAACUGUGGGUGGUGAUGGAAAUCUGAUGCCAAGAAGGUCUCAGGCAUUAGGUGGAAAUCAGUCCUGGAGAGGUAUGGUGGGUGAAAUUGAGAUAGUUGGUUCUUCUGGUGAUAAUAACAAGUAAGAACCUGAGAAGAAGAGGGAUUAGAUCUGGAUCCAGUAGUAGCAUGGUUCUUAAUUUGGCCGCAUCCCAACAACAGUAGCCCUUGGGCGCGCUGCUUUCACAAAUACCCAAGACCAUGGCUAUUAGAGAACUGGAUAUAAGUGACAGAAAUGGUGUAGGCAACAAGGGGAAGGAUCAUGUAGGUGUUGGAAAUGGUGGUGGGGAAAAUCAAAGCAACAAAGGAUCAUCACCUGGCAGUGGAAACGUGGGAGAAUCUGGAGACUUCAAACAUGAUCACGGGCUUGGUAACUCUCUGUAAGGGAAUGAGAUGAAUAAGAAGCAAGGGGGCAGAUUUUGAAAGCAAGUUUAUGGGAAAUGUAAAGAUCCCAGGCACUCUACCAGGGAAUGCAAAGUGGGGCAUUGUUUGAUUUGUGGCAAGGAUAAUCACAUCACAGAGGAGUGUAACUAGUUGUGACAGAUGAAGCCCUUGCCAAAAUACAUUGGAUAUGCCGCCAAGGGUUUACGAGUGUUCUUGGUCCAAAGUGCUAAAGAUAUUUUGUUUGCUGAUCAUAUUCAUCCACUGGCCAUUGUAUCUUUGGAAUCGAUGUACUUGAAUGAGACUGAUUUUGUACAAGAAUUUGGGGAGAUGUUUAACUGGAGAUGGAAAUGGAGAGCUAAAAGCUAUGGCCAAAUCUAUUAUCUAAUGAGGUUUCCAAACAAAGCAAGGCUGGUGGAGUUGGCUAAAUUCAAAACUUUUAACCUGUUAGGAACUGGGGUAAUGAUCAAAGUUCAAGGGUGGACACUGGAUCAUUAGGCCAUUGGCAAAUUACACACUGCUUGGGUAAAAUUUGGUAGUGUGGCUGGUUGUUUUAGGCACUUUUUUGGGAUGUGUGAAGUAGCAGGGGCUAUUGGGCCAGUGAUGGAAAUUGAAAAGGAUACCAACACACAGGAAAAAAUUAAAGCAAAAAAUUGGAGCAAGAGAUGUGGAGAAAAUCUCACCUUCCUUUGAAAUCACUUCAAAUGACGUGCUAAUUUUUAGAGUGACUUCUGAAUUGGACAAUGUGGUGGAAAUGGGUUUGUAUAAAGAGUUUAAAAGAAGUGAAUCUCCUGAAGAUGAUUUGAUGGACAUGUAUGAAAAAGAAGAUACUAGGAAAAAAGCAAGGUAGGGGAAAACACCAGAGUGCAUUUGACAUUGGGGAGCUUGUCUUUGGCCCAGCUUGAAGAGGUUAAUAAGAAAAUAAUGCAAUGAAAACCUCCAUUGAAAAUUAUUUUGGCCCCAUUCUUCAUAACCUAGCAAAAGAAUACAAACCGGCUUGAAAAGGAUAUAGAUGUAGUACUGAGAAGAGUUCAAUCUUUGGAAGAGGAAAAGACAAGGCAAGCUGCUUUGUGGGCAAUUGAGGGGAAGAAAAUGAUUUAUUUAGAAAAAUAUAAGAAGAUGCUGGAAGCUGACUUUGCUCAACAGCAAUAAAUGACACAACAGCUGAUACGAGAGGAUGAGAAAAGAGAUCAAAUGGAAUUGGAGCAUGCUAAUAUGGAUGAUGAGGAAAUUGAGGGGUAUGUGCAAGAUAAGAAAAAAGCAACUGAAUUUGAUAAAUAUGGGGAGAACAGUGAUUAUAAUGCUUGCCAAGAAUCUGCGGAAAACUUUGGACAGAAGAUGGCCGACAAACAUGGACCUGAAACUAGAGAUUUGGAGAUUGGCAAAGAAGAGGAAUUGAGAACAAGCUUCAGUAUGAAGGUGGAGGACUUGGCCAAGAACAGAGCUGAAGCAAGGGAUAAUUAUGGUAAUGAACCUAACUCCCCUCCUUCUAUAUCUCCUUUAAUGCAUAUGACAUCUUUCAUAGGAAAUGGUUUAGGAUGCACUAUUGAUAUGGUAGAGAAAAACAUUGGGAUUAUCCAAAAAUGCAGGCUGCUAGAAAAGAGUUUUAUUGGCAAAAUAUACUAACCAGAGAGAAAAAGGAAAAGGUGAGGCCAGCACUCCAAUUCAGAUUGAUAUUGGAGAUGCUAAUAUGGCUGAACUCUGUUUUGAUAAAGAACAUUCAGACGCCAAGGUAGAAGAGAAUUAUCAUGAUCAAUUGAAAAAAAUAUUUGUUGGGGAAUUUUUUUCAAGAGGGAUCACCAGCAAUUAGCUAUGUGAAACACUCAGUUGCUAUCAACUUCCUUGAAAAAUGGAGGAAGAAGACAUAAAAUUAGAGAGGCUAAAUAUUUGCCUCUUGUUUUUUGUGAAACUGUGUGUCUGUGGAUAUAUAGAUUUGGAUAAUAAUAAACCAUUUAUAUUGGAAAAAUGAAAGGUUUUUUUGGAAUGUUAGAGGAUUGGGGCAUGAUCAUAAAAAUAGAUAUGUUAAGGAUAUGAUUGUAGAACAUAAACUUGACUUUGUGGGGCUGAUGGAAACUAUAAAAACUAGGUAUUCCAAAACUGAACUCACUUUGUGUGUGGGGGGGUGGGGAGAAAUUUUGAAUGCACUUGAAAUCCACCUAGUGGGAAAUGUGGAGGUAUUCUGGUGGGUUGGAAUAAAGAUAUUUUUGACACUAUUCGUCUUGAACAUGGUGAAUAUUUUGUCAGGGUACAUGUUUUUGAUAGACAUGCAAGUUUGAAUGGAAUUUAAUCACUAUCAAUGGUGAUGCUCAAAUUGAAAGAAAAGCUAGUUUUUUAGCUGAGCUGGCUAGAGUCUAUCAUGAUAUUGCCUUGUUUGGUGGGGGGGGGGGGUUAAUAUCAUUAGAAAGAGUGAUGAGAAAAACAAACCUAACAAUCCAGAUCAUUGGAGUUUUGUGUUUAAUGUUAUUAUAGAACAUGUUGGGCUUAGGGAGAUGUCUCUAAAUGGCAUACAAUACACUUGGGCUAAUAAUCUUCCUCAUCCAACUUAUGAGAAAUUGGAUAGGGUUCUAUGUUGUCCAGAUUAGGAGGAAAAAUAACCCUUAUCCAUACUCCAGGCAUUUGCUAGGGAGGCCUUUGAUCAUACUCCACUUUAUAUUUUGACACAAGAGCCCACACAAAUACUGAACCAAUUUUCAUAUCUAAAAAUUCUUGAGUGCUUAGAGAGGGAUUUAAGGAUUUUGUGGUUAAAGUAUGGAAUGGGGAGUAUAAAGUAGAUAAUUUGGAUAGAUGGUAAGAAAGAUUCAGAAACUUGAGGAAAAAAACUAAAGGUUGGAAUGAAAAUGUGGAUGCUUGGUAUAGGAAGAUGAAGAAAGAAAUUAUUGAUAGACUUGAUGAUUUGGAAUAAAAUGCUGAAAAUAUGGGAUUAACAGCUGCAAAUAGAGAUGAACAAAAAGAGCUAAGUGCUCAAGUAUCUAGGCUUAUGUAGUAAGAAGAACUUAAAUGGCUUCGAAGAUAUAAAGAUAAAGAGAUUAAAGAUGGAUAUGGGAACACUAGAUACUACAAUGCCAAAGUGAAUGGAGAAGACGCAUAAAAUAAAAUAAUAUCUUUAGAACAAGUAGAGGGGGUGAUUGAGGGAGAGAUUGAAUUAAUGGAGUAUAUUACUAACUUCUAUAAGAGACUAUUUGGACAGCCAGACGAGUGGAACAUUAUGCUGGGAGACCUAGAUAUGCCAAAAAAUUCUGCUAUAGAAGCUGUGGAGUUGACUGCACCUUUCUCUAUGAAAGAAAUUCAUGAGGUGAUUUUUGGUAUGGAAAAAAACAAGAGCCUUGGUCCGGAUGGAUUUCCUGCUGAUUUCUAUCUAGAAUUUUGGGAUUUGAUAAAAUGGGAUCUCAAGGACAUGGUUGACGAUUUCACUUCUGGCAAAUUUGACAUCACUAGGCUUAAUUAUGAUACCCUAAUCCCAAAAACCUCAUAUGCUAAACAAAUUUAGAAAUUUAGACCAUAUGCCUCUUGAAUGUCAGUUUUAAGAUUAUUACUAAGGUUUUUCAUGAAUAGAUUGAGUAAAGUGGUCUCUCAUGUUAUUUCUCCUACUCAAACUACUUUUGUUAAAGGGAGAUUCAUUAUGGAAGGGGUUGUGGUACUUCAUGGAGCUUUAAAUAUAGUACAUUACAAAAAACAAAAUGCUCUGAUCAUCAAAGUGGACUUUUGUUAUCAAAAUGUUGAAAAUGAAAGGAUUUUUCUGAUAAAGGUGUGACUGGAUUAUGCUAACUAUGAGAAGGGGACAUGUAGGAGUUAGGGUUGAUGAUCAAAUUGGGCCUUAUUUCAAAACCUUUAAAGGCCUUAGACAAGGGGACUCUAUGUCCCCCUUGUUGUUUGACCUUGCUGAUUAUGCUUUAGCUCUGAUCGUGGAUAAAGCAAAGAAUGAGGGGGGUUGUUAAGGGGGUGCUUGGUACUCAGUGUAACAUGGGGAUAAACAUGCUACAAUAUGAUGAUGACACUAUUUUCUUACUUCAGGAUGAUCUUGAUGAUGCAAAAAAAAUUGGAGUUCAUUAUUUGUGCUUUUGAGCAAAUGUCUGGGCUUACUAUUAAUUUUCAUAAAAGUGAACGGUUCCUUUUUGGAGAGGAAAAUAAUAAAAGACAGACAUAUCAGGAAUUUUUCACUUGUGGCAUGGGAUCUCUCCCUAUGAAGUAUCUAGGGAUGCCAGUGUCACACACUAGAAUUAGAAAAAGACACUGGUCUGGGUAGUUGAAAAAAAUGAGAAAAGAUGUGAGUGAUGGCAAGGUAGACUCCUAGGAUCUAUUGCUGGGAGAAUAACCUUGGUGCAGGCCUGCUUGUCCAAUAUACCUCUUUUUUAUGAUGUCGUUUUACCCCAUUCCUGCUGGGGUACUUAAGAAAGUAGACUCUUAUAGAGCUAGAUUGGUUUGGCAAGAAGACGAAGAUAAGAAGAAAUAUCAUUUGGUAAACUGGAAGACCUGUUGCAAACCCAAAGACUUGGGAGGUUUGGGUAUUUUAAAUUUAAACAUUAUGAAUAAAGAUUUACUUGUGAAAUGGUUUCGGAAUUUGGAAAUGGAGGAAGGACUUUGGCAGCCAGUCCUCUAGGACAAAUAUGUAACUGAUGGAUGCUUAUCCAGGACACAACAUAAAAAUGGAGAUUCACAAUUUUGGACUAAUACUAUUAAGGUCAAAGAGAUAUUUGACAGAUUUUGUAGGAAAAUUUUGGGGGAUGGCAAAAACACAAGGUUCUGGGAAAGACAUAUGGGUAGAUGAUAAACCUCUGAAAGAGGCAUAUCCAAGGCUAUAUAUGCUUAGUUUUGAACACAAUAUCAAUGUGUCUGAAGCCUUGGAGAACGAGUGGAGAUGAUUUAAAUUUAGAAGAACACUAUAUGAGGAAACCAUGGAAUUGUGGAAAAGCCUAGGAAGAAGAUGUGAGGAGGUUAAUAUGGGAAGAGGUAGAGAUCAGGUGGAGUGCAUGCUAACUCCGGAUAAACAAUUUAUUCUCAAGUCCUUAUAUAGACUAGAGAUAUUUUUAGAAGACCUUUUUAUGCUAAAAAAACAGAUGAUCCACACAUAAUCAUAUCAAAUCUUCAAAAUGCAUUAAAACGGAGCAUCGAUGGAUAACAAACUAUAGACUGGAGAUAUUUACUUGCAUAAAACAAAUGGAAAUGAAGAGGUGAAAAUAACGCAGAUAAUGUACUCUCAGUGACUUAUAUUAGCCACAUCAGGCCCAAACGACUGGCCACAAUAACUAGUGCUACAUGACAGCAAACAGAUGAAAUGGCUAGGUGGAUUCUUACAACUAACUAGUACACUCACCCUUACAAAGUUUGGCUAACAACAUUGUUCAAAGCAACAAAGGCAUAUGCACCGAACUCAAGACUGUAGACAUAGGAGUUGGGACUUCUCCACGCAAUGCCAGGAAAUUAGGAGAGUAGGCCCAUGUCAACCACUAAUUUCAGCAAAAGGUGUUGUCCCAUGCUGAGCACGUAAUGUAGCACUGGAUCUCAGUGACCAGCUGAGGGCAAUUCCGCAAAACAGGGAGUAUAAGGCAAACCAUUCAUGCCUUUGGCGCAGAUAACAUGCACUUUUUGAUUAUCCAUGUCAUACGACAAUGUCAUGUUCUUCUUGUCGGUAAGAAAAAUCACGUUGCAAUCCGGAUGAAUUGCAAACAUCGCAUAAGAAUCUCCAUGUUUACGGCAAUUCCUUCCAAACAACUCCAAAACCUUAAAAGUGUGCUUUAGGGUCCACUUUCCAGUAUCAUAAUCCUCAAGGACCCAAAUAUAGAGUUGGCAAUCAUAAAAAUUAUCUGUCUUCCACGCAUACAGGCGUCCUUGAGACUGCCCAACAUCACAUAUGUUUGGCAAGUCAUUUGGCAUUUGAAUCUCCCUCCAAACUUUCCCCUCCACGUCGACUGUGGCCAUUAUGUUAUCAAUGGAAGGCAGAUGGAUAGUGUCAUUAAGGAAGACCUGUGUGUCUCUACCAUGAUCCACGAGAGGCUCUCUUGUCCACCUACUUUGCACAUGAGUCCACCGUCCAGUUUCUGACGAGUAGAUUGCCACUUCUCCGGAACCGUCCACACCAAACAUAUUGGGCUGGGGCGCAAACACCACAAAGCGGGAUGGAACAGCAGGGUCAAAACCUAAGAAAGCGAUUGGAUCAGGACCUGGAAAUCCGACAGGAGGCAGCACAGUCCACUCCUCGGUCGCAGGAUUGCAGACAAGAUAACAGGCUUCGCCUAGAAGAUUAUUCGAGCAGCUGCAGAGGAGGAGUCCGCCGCAGACCUGUUGGACAAUAAUGUAGAGGUACCUUUUGCCAAAGAAAGAGAGUGAAGGGUCGACCAGAGGCGGGCCUCUCCCAUUCAAAUUGCAGAAACUGAAACCUUCGCCUUCAUCCUGGUAAAAGAAGCCAGAGAGGGUCUGUGGCGACCUCUUGCGGAUGUCAGGGGCGGAGCAGAGGGCGAGCCACGGCUUGGACACGCACUUGAAGCGGCAGAGGGACCUGUAGGGCACUCGCGAAAGGAUCUCCACGAGGCCGCCCUCGGGGAGGCUUGGCGCAGGCUGCUGCUCCUGCUCCCGCUCCAGCUUCUGCUUCUUCUCCUGUAUAAAUGAUAACGGCUGGUUUAGGUUCCCGAUUCCUUCUCUUGGAUAACGGCUGCUUCUUCUCCUGCUCCAAGAUUGGAAGGCCCUUGUUAAACAAAAGGAAGACUGGAGCAGCGCGAGCGAACCUCGGAAGCUACCGGAGCAAUGUCGGGGAGCAGCAGCGUAGAAUGAGACGGAGCGUCGUCGUCGCGGCGGACGGUCGCCGUCGGCUGACCCUGCAGCGCACAGCCAUGCUCGCCUCCACCUCCUCCUCCUGGCGGCAUCGCCUCCUCUUCGGCUCGCGGAUCAGUGGCUCGAGGCAGUCGAAUCGACCGUGGCGGCGCUGGCUGCCGCUGCUCGCCGGGGCUAGGGUUCGUGAGGGGGAAUGGGGCGGCGGCUGUUAUGGGAGCGUGCGUGAGUGCGAGUGCAGUGGUUGAUUUGUUACUCUGCUGACAAUAGACGGCCCAAUGGACCCUGAUAAUUUGUUGGCCCACUCCGCUGAAUAAUAAUCGAAUAAUUUCCUUGGUGCCUCUAAAAAAAAGAAGAACCCAAGCCACGCUGCUUGCUGCUCUGCUUCUUAUUCUAUCCUAGUGUUGCAAUUUGUACUGAACUUAGUGUUGUGUUUUAUGAUAUAGCCAUUAGAAAUAUUUUGGUAGAGCAGUCUCUCAAGUGAUUUGAUAGAAAAUGAUGAUUGUAAAGAGCAUGGACUGAAAACAUCGUGUGUCAUGUCAUGAGGUUCAGACUUGGGACUUCCAAGGGAUAUGCCUCUGAUAAGCACUAAGCUGAUUAUAUAUUGUACUUAUAUCAUGAUUUGCAUUGAAAGGGUAGAAAAAAAAACAUAAGAUUGUAUGGUUUCUUUCAGAAAACUGAAGCCAUCAUGUUGUACUGCUCAGAAAUAAAACCUACACGACUAGAAGGCACAAUGGAAGGAAUUGAAGAAGCAUCCGCGGCUCAUCAGGCAAAAGGUAAGCAGUUUUCUCUCCGAGUAAACAUUUUUCUCUGGCUGCUUUCAUCAAGGACAGGUUCGGCCAGCUUGACACACUAGUACCGGGUGGCUCAAAUUUUCAAAUGAAAAUUUGAAUAUGCAAUUAACUUAUCGUACAUAAGCCAAUUCGAAUGAAAAUCAUGAUUUGAAGUGAUGUGUGAGAUCAACCUGAAGUGAAGUGAUGUGUAAACAAGGAGCGCUAUCCAACAACUGCUGGAUGUAUCACACACUGCACACUGGACUAAAAUUUCAACGCCACACCAAGUGAAGAUUGAUUGUAGUAACUGAACCCCAUCUUAAUGCCAGAACAGGCGCCUGUCAUGCUGUAAUUUCACAGAUUCAGCAAGAACUAAACCUUCAACCAACAAAGCCAUGAUAGGAAAACCAACCUUAUCUUCAGAUUCACGCAACAAAUAUUUCUACUUACUAAAGAGUUUACAGGAUCCGGUUUUGUGCGGUCCUCGUUUCCAACAGUCAAUGCGACAUGUUCCGGUGUACACUUGCAGCACUUGGCAUGGGAAAUAGCAUCCAGAACAGGUGCCUGGAAUGCUGUAAUGCCAUCCUAUAGCAGCUACACAAAAGUUAGAGGCCUGUCAAAUAUUUCUACUUACAAAGACUCUGCAGAAUAUGGUCCGUGGUCCUCAUUUCGGACAGUCAGUGCACCAUGUUUAGUGUACAACACUUGAAAGGAGAAAUAAUAAAUAUCUGCUAUAUGUAACAUAUCCAUUGUGGUGAUUAUUAUAAAAAACAUUGUCGUGCUCAGCUUCCCAUAAAGAGCAGGCCUCUAAACCAAUGUUAAGCAACCAAAAACUUCAACACUCUAGUCAGGUUUCAGGAGGAGAAUGAUGAACUAUAUUAGACAGCAAGAAUUCAAAGCACACUGGGAAGCAUAUGUAAAAAAAAAAAUGGAUGGUGAACUUGUACCCAUGUUACCCCAGUCUUGCAACAAAGAUGGUAGUCUCAGACUAUAAGUGACUGCUUCCCCACAAAAGGUCAUAUUCCCCUGAGCAAAAACAUAUGAAAGAACUGUCUUCCAGGCCAGUUUAGCUGCACAAAUUUCUAGACACCACCAAUGGAACAUGGAAGUCCACGUGGGUUACAUAAAAGAAACUAAUAUGUCUUUACCCUACAAGUAUAUGGUGCAAUAUAGAAGAGACAAUCCACAGAUAAUCUUCUCAAAUCUUACAAAAUGCUGCAUAGAAACAGAGCUAGCACCGAUGGAUACAUAAAAGUAUAUGGUGCAAUAUAGAAGAGACAAUCCACAGAUAAUCUUCUCAAAUCUUACAAGAUGCAUAGAAACAGAGCUAGCGCCGAUGGAUAACAAGCUAUAGAUUGCAGAUAUUCACUUGCAUAGACAAGUGAAAAUAAGGAGGUGAAAAUGCAAACAAUGUCAAACAUUGAUAAUGUACUCUCACUGAGUGUCUUAUAUUAUCAUCCCACAUCAACAGUUAACGAGUGGCCACAAUAAUUUAGUACUACAUGAAAGCAAAAUAGAUUAAAGGACUAGGUUCAUUCAUACAACUACUUAUUACUCUUACAAAGUCUUGGCUAACAAAGAUUGUUCAAAGCAACAAAGGCAUGAACCUGAACACCAACAGAUAGGAUAGGAACACCACACUGUAGAUAUAGGAGUUUGUUCAUCUCUACGCAAUGGCACGAAAUUAAUUAGGAGAGUCGGUCCAUGCAACCACUAAUUUUCGCAAAAGGUGUUGUCUCAUAUGGUGAUGCUGCAGUGAAUCUCAA
This 29446-nucleotide long non-coding RNA is filed under the name Triticum aestivum (bread wheat). Its description in RNAcentral is "long non-coding RNA (TAES_LNC027126)". Lineage: Eukaryota; Viridiplantae; Streptophyta; Magnoliopsida; Poales; Poaceae. The record is from RNAcentral.